This is a long non-coding RNA of Corythoichthys intestinalis (scribbled pipefish), 768 nucleotides long. RefSeq lists it as uncharacterized. Lineage: Eukaryota; Metazoa; Chordata; Actinopteri; Syngnathiformes; Syngnathidae. The record is from RefSeq and is a predicted model, not a curated record. The transcript has 3 exons.
GGGGGGCUCUUAUAGCUACUUUUGCCUAGGGCACCUUGUCACGCAGUGCUGGCCCUGAGCUGGGGUUAUAGCACAUAAGCAAUAGAGUGUUUACCCCAAAUUGCCGCUGUUGUAUAGGGCCUCAUCUGUUGGUAAGCACAACGGCAUUACAGAUCCAUUGAAAGGUGGAUGUGGAAUGAAGCAGCCGAUAAAGGAAGCCUACUUUACCUUCAGAUCUUCUUCUUCAAAAUGGAUCAGCCAGUGUGCUGCAGUCAUGAGCCAGCGGUCACUAAUCACCACUGCACCUGCUCUCGAUCCAUGUGAAGAGAUGUGCACUUGCCACGGAAUGGAGCCUUCAGGAGCCAAUCCAACAUUACCUGGAUUAGCAAGGAUGGACGUGGUAGGCCGCCCACACACUUGAUGACAAACAAGCCCCCAAAAAUGAGAACGUAUUAAAAUUAAAACAAUUAGGAAGCUUUUCCAUGACUGAAAAUGUGGCACUGUGUCCAUGUAUUAGUAAACUGCUUCUCAGUGGAAACCAGCGGUGUCCAAACUACUUGAAGCCGCCCAGUUUUUACUGGCCCGCAGCAAAUUAUGCAAAUAUAAUUAAAUGUUGCUUGCACAAAAUGCUCAAAUUCAGCCUACAACCUUUUGCACUUCUCAUCUUGAACACUUGCUGGAGCUAGUCACUUAAACAGUGCUCCUAAAUUAGCUCAGGAGUCAAAACUUGACAACAAAUUGAAAUUAAUGUAAGAAAAUGUAAAAAUUCUGCAUUUUGUUUUACGUUCA